UCAAUUCCGUAGUGCAUUGCAGUGUAGAACGGUUACAAGCACGACUGCAAGCAUUGUGGGAGUGAAG
RNAcentral lists this microRNA precursor (67 nucleotides) under Anopheles gambiae (African malaria mosquito). Its description in RNAcentral is "microRNA aga-mir-932 precursor". Its record names the gene aga-mir-932. The record is from miRBase by way of RNAcentral. Lineage: Eukaryota; Metazoa; Arthropoda; Insecta; Diptera; Culicidae.